Molecule: transfer RNA, 71 nt
Organism: Loxodonta africana (African savanna elephant)
Lineage: Eukaryota; Metazoa; Chordata; Mammalia; Proboscidea; Elephantidae
Rfam family: tRNA
About the family: Transfer RNA (tRNA) molecules are approximately 80 nucleotides in length. Their secondary structure includes four short double-helical elements and three loops (D, anti-codon, and T loops).
Source: Rfam
GCAACGGUGGUUCCGUGGUAGAAUUCUCACCUCGUGUACAGAAGACCUGAGUUCAAUUCUCAGCCAAUGCA